RNAcentral lists this ribosomal RNA (495 nucleotides) under uncultured bacterium. RNAcentral's name for it is "partial 16S ribosomal RNA". It matches the Rfam family "Bacterial small subunit ribosomal RNA", at positions 28 to 507 of the family's 1533-position model. The record is from RNAcentral.
GACGAACGCUGGCGGCGUGCCUAAUACAUGCAAGUAGAACGCUGAAGGAGGAGCUUGCUUCUCUGGAUGAGUUGCGAACGGGUGAGUAACGCGUAGGUAACCUGCCUGGUAGCGGGGGAUAACUAUUGGAAACGAUAGCUAAUACCGCAUAAGAGUAGAUGUUGCAUGACAUUUGCUUAAAAGGUGCAAUUGCAUCACUACCAGAUGGACCUGCGUUGUAUUAGCUAGUUGGUGAGGUAACGGCUCACCAAGGCAACGAUACAUAGCCGACCUGAGAGGGUGAUCGGCCACACUGGGACUGAGACACGGCCCAGACUCCUACGGGAGGCAGCAGUAGGGAAUCUUCGGCAAUGGACGGAAGUCUGACCGAGCAACGCCGCGUGAGUGAAGAAGGUUUUCGGAUCGUAAAGCUCUGUUGUAAGAGAAGAACGAGUGUGAGAGUGGAAAGUUCACACUGUGACGGUAACUUACCAGAAAGGGACGGCUAACUACGUG